This is a non-coding RNA of Erinaceus europaeus (western European hedgehog), 104 nucleotides long. The record is from Rfam. NCBI's taxonomy places the organism in Eukaryota, Metazoa, Chordata, Mammalia, Eulipotyphla, Erinaceidae.
AUGCUCACUUUGGAAGCACAUAUUUUAAAACUGGACUGAUACAGAGAAGAUUAGCAUGACCCCUGCACAAAGAUGGCAUGAAAAUUUGUGAAUUCCAUAUUUUU